GAUCAUGGCUCAGGAUGAACGCUGGCGGCGUGCAUAACACAUUCAAGUCGAACGGACUUUCCGGAGCUUGCUCCGGGAAGUUAGUGGCGGACGGGUGAGUAACGCGUGAGCAACCUGCCUGUGUGAGCGGAAUAACGUCCGGAAACAGACGCUAAUACCGCAUGACUCACGGACUUCGCAUGGAGACCGUGGCAAAGAUUUAUCGCACACAGAUGGGCUCGCGUCCGAUUAGG
RNAcentral lists this ribosomal RNA (233 nucleotides) under uncultured bacterium. RNAcentral's name for it is "partial 16S ribosomal RNA". It matches the Rfam family "Bacterial small subunit ribosomal RNA", at positions 15 to 245 of the family's 1533-position model. The record is from RNAcentral.